UAGCGGAGGAAAAGAAACCAACAGGGAUUGCCCUAGUAACGGCGAGUGAAGCGGCAACAGCUCAAAUUUGAAAUCUGGCCUAGGCCCGAGUUGUAAUUUGCAGAGGAUGCUUCUGGCGCGGUGCCUUCCGAGUUCCCUGGAACGGGACGCCACAGAGGGUGAGAGCCCCGUAUGGUCGGACACCAAGCCUGUGUGAAGCUCCUUCGACGAGUCGAGUAGUUUGGGAAUGCUGCUCUAAAUGGGAGGUAAAUCUCUUCUAAAGCUAAAUACCGGCCAGAGACCGAUAGCGCACAAGUAGAGUGAUCGAAAGAUGAAAAGCACCUUGAAAAGGGGGUUAAAUAGUACGUGAAAUUGUUGAAAGGGAAGCACUUAUGACCAGACUUGGGCCGGGCGGCUCAUCAGGGGUUCUCCCCUGUGCACUCCGCCCGGCACAGGCCAGCAUCGGUUCUCGUGGGGGGAUAAGACCGUCAGGAACGUAGCACCCUCCGGGGUGUGUUAUAGCCUGGCGGACGAUACCCCCGUGGGGACCGAGGUCCGCGCUCCGCAAGGAUGCUGGCGUAAUGGUCAUCAGUGACCCGUCUUGA
Molecule: ribosomal RNA, 584 nt
Filed under: Diaporthe sp.
Lineage: Eukaryota; Fungi; Ascomycota; Sordariomycetes; Diaporthales; Diaporthaceae
Description: eukaryotic LSU rRNA
Rfam family: Eukaryotic large subunit ribosomal RNA
Source: RNAcentral